CAGAAAGAGACGAACGGGGGCGGUCGGCUGGAACCGGGACCGGGCUCUUAAUUGAAUUGUGGAUACGAUGGAAAGGGAUUCACUUUCAAAAGCUGAGAGCAAAUUAGAUCCGGGUUUGGAGCGUAGGAUGUCCGCGUUGAAGUUGAAACAGUCAGACAAAAUAAAAAGAAACUUUGAGUAAUAAGUUUUACAAAUCAGAUUCAGGUAAAAAUAGAAUCAGCCUAAUGCAGAGUAAUCCAAUGUUCUUGUUAGAAUUUCCGUCGUGCUGCCUCUUGUUACCCUUACCCUCUAUGUCCAGAGAACACGACAAAUGCACAAACUGGCUUAAAGUAAACAAAAUAGACACUUUUGGUGGUAAGUAUCUUAAACUCUUUCAAACUCAUCCCACCUCAUGUCUGAUGUAUUUUAAAGAUCCUAGCUGAAACCUGGUGAGCAGUGCAAGCAAUUAAAGGUGCAAAAUGAGCUGAAGUUCUCUGAGAAUUGCUAUGAAAGGACGUUAGGAAGAUAUUAAAGACUUCAUAUAGUUGAAUUUUUAAUCAAGCACAAUAAGCACAGUAAGUUUAAUGUUGUGAUAGCUAAAUUCUAACAAUAUAUUGUGUCAGUUGUGAUUCACAUUUGACAUGUGCAACAGAAUUAGACUUGCUAGCAAGCCUUAACCAUAAAGCAGUUCUUACUUUUUAUUUUGGUAAUUGUAUGAAGUACUAUUAAUAAAUUAUUGAAAAAUAGUAGUAGUAAAGAACCAAAGUAGUGAAGAACAAACUAGUAGAACAUGCUAGUAGCAACUAUGCUAAUUGUAAAGCCAAACAUGCUAACAACCUGAGUUUCUCUUAACCAAAGUUCUAUAAUUCUGGUUUAUUUAAAACGAUAUAUAAAGGCCACAGAUAGCACUACACAUUUAUAAUAUUGUUUAUUUGUUUAUCAUGAUAAGAAUUUGGAUUUAUUGUAAUGAUGAUUUUGCUUUAGUCCAAAAAGUGAUGACCUUACUUAACACGUUAACUUUCUCCUCUGUUUCAUGAGAGCUUCAAUAAAUAACAAUAAAUUCGCAAAUAUGACUUAAUGCAGUUACUAUUUUUAAUUUAGUAAAUCCCACAUCUUUAAAUGGUGUCUUUAAGAAACCAAUUGAAAAAUAGGAAUGCUUUUUAUUAUCAGUAUUUGUGUUUAUUGGGUGUUGAUCGCUGUGCCAUGCAGUCAUAACUAAAAAAAACAAAACAAAAAAAAACGCAAAAGACACUUAUCGUUAUCACGAUAGUACCACGAAAUAUCGUGAUAACAUUUUAAGUCAGAUGUAAAAGUUUGACUUAAGUUUUUAAUUAUUACCAUUUUAGUAACAUCACAAACUGUUAAACUUUAUCCUUAGACUUGGAUGUAGCUUUGCAGGUUGUAAAUUAAUAUGUAGGUAAAUAGCAUCCAGAUUGAGAAAUGUUAAAUGCAUGCUAACAUCUCGAUCAUUAACCACUGUGCAGAUGAUUUGUAUAACUAAAAAAAUGUUCUAUUAGUUUAAUUUUGUUUUAUUGGUAGGACGUUAAUUUGUUACAUUGGGAUUUUUCUGUUUGCUUAGUAGAAGAUAAAGAGCUCUCAAAGAAACAAUGAGCUGCCGACAUUUGGAAAUCAAUCAAAGACUUACACAGCUCCAGAGCAGCAACAACAAAAAUCGUUAUCAUUUCAACAAUAGAAACCUACGAAAGAUGAACCGAGGUCAAUGGAAGACAAAUCAGUCUAAGCAGAUGAAACGACGGAGGAGAACGGGACCCGCUGAGCGAUGCCUGCUGCUUACCUGUGCAGAGCGCGCCGCAUGGAAAACAGAGGAGGAGCACACAAGCCAACUGCGCCUGCAUCUUGACGACAAAAUGAGAAAAGGUGUGAAACAAAAGGGGGGCUUCCGCAGUGAGGAGUUCACCUGAGGACGAGCUUAGUCCAUAAGGUUAAGGGUCAGAGCGCGACUGAAGAGGCUGGAGAUGAAUUUAUGGAGACGAUGCUGCCGCUUCUUUUUUCCCCCCUUCUUUUUUCCUCCUCAAGGUCUGAGAUGGUUGUCAGAGCUUCCUGGUUGGAUGUGAAGUGCGGUGGGCUCCAUUCCCUCCGUAUAUAAGAGCCCGCGUGAUGUCAGAGCGUGGGUCUCUUCCCCCCUCUCCCUGCCCCUCCAGAUCGUCUCCCUCCAUCCACGUUGCUGUGUCUCGCCGGUCGUCACUCUGGCAUCACGGGGCAGAAAGGUUUUUUGCGUCACUGCUCGGGAGAUUUUUGGUUUUUUACAUCUUCAGUGGAAGAGGUUAGCUGUACGUUGGUCUCUGAGUGGUGGAGGGUGACGCACAGAUCACCGUUUCUGUCACCGUUUGGAAAAAAAAAAAAAAACACAAAAUAAAACACAAAGCAUUGUUCUCUGUUAA
Molecule: long non-coding RNA, 2381 nt
Organism: Poecilia latipinna (sailfin molly)
Lineage: Eukaryota; Metazoa; Chordata; Actinopteri; Cyprinodontiformes; Poeciliidae
Exons: 3
Source: RefSeq, a predicted model, not a curated record